This 454-nucleotide ribosomal RNA is filed under the name uncultured bacterium. RNAcentral describes it as "partial 16S ribosomal RNA". It matches the Rfam family "Bacterial small subunit ribosomal RNA", at positions 28 to 507 of the family's 1533-position model. The record is from RNAcentral.
GAUGAACGCUGACAGCAUGCUUAACACAUGCAAGUCAACUUGAACUUCGGUUUGGGUGGCGGACGGGUGAGUAACGCGUAACGAACUUGCCUCACAGCUAGGGACAACAUUUGGAAACGAGUGCUAAUACCUGAUAUUAUGAUUUUAGGGCAUCCUAGAAUUAUGAAAGCUAUAUGCGCUGUGAGAGAGCUUUGCGUCCCAUUAGCUAGUGGGAGAGGUAACGGCUCACGAAGGCUAUGAUAGGUAGCCGGCCUGGGAGGGUAAACGGCCAAAAGGGGACUGAGAGACGGCCCUUACUACUACGGGAGGAAGGAGUGGGGAAUAUCGGAGAACGGACCAAGAGUCUGAUAAAGCAAUUCUGUGUGAAAGAUGAAGUUUUUCGGAAUGUAAAGUGCUUUCAGUUGGGAAGAAAAAAAUGACGGUACCAACAGAAGAAGUGACGGCUAAAUACGUG